This 456-nucleotide ribosomal RNA is filed under the name uncultured bacterium. Its description in RNAcentral is "SSU rRNA". It matches the Rfam family "Bacterial small subunit ribosomal RNA", at positions 26 to 518 of the family's 1533-position model. The record is from RNAcentral.
AGAAUCAGCGCUGGCGGCGUGCCUAACACAUGCAAGUCGAUCGAGAAAGUGGAGCAAUCCAUGAGUAAAGAGGCGCACGGGUGAGUAACACGUGACUAACCUACCUUCGAGUGGGGAAUAACCUGGGGAAACCCGGGCUAAUACCGCAUAAUACCUACGGGUCAAAGGAGCAAUUCGCUUGAAGAGGGGGUCGCGGCAGAUUAGUUAGUUGGCGGGGUAAUGGCCCACAAGACGAUGAUCUGUAUCCGGCCUGAGAGGGCGCACGGACACACUGGAACUGAAACACGGUCCAGACUCCUACGGGAGGCAGCAGUGGGGAAUUUGCGCAAUGGGGGAAACCCUGACGCAGCAACGCCGCGUGGAGGAUGAAGUCCCUUGGGACGUAAACUCCUUUCGACCGGGACGAUUAUGACGGUACCGGAUGAAGAGCCCGGCUAACUUCGCGCCAGCAGCCGC